AAAUUGAAGAGUUUGAUCAUGGCUCAGAUUGAACGCUGGCGGCAGGCCUAACACAUGCAAGUCGAACGGUAACAGGAARCAGCUUGCUGYUUYGCUGACGAGUGGCGGACGGGUGAGUAAUGUCUGGGAAACUGCCUGAUGGAGGGGGAUAACUACUGGAAACGGUAGCUAAUACCGCAUAACGUCGCAAGACCAAAGAGGGGGACCUUCGGGCCUCUUGCCAUCGGAUGUGCCCAGAUGGGAUUAGCUAGUAGGUGGGGUAAAGGCUCACCUAGGCGA
Molecule: ribosomal RNA, 279 nt
Filed under: Escherichia coli
Lineage: Bacteria; Pseudomonadati; Pseudomonadota; Gammaproteobacteria; Enterobacterales; Enterobacteriaceae
Description: partial 16S ribosomal RNA
Rfam family: Bacterial small subunit ribosomal RNA
Source: RNAcentral